CAGAAUGUUUCCACAAGCUGUGGUUGACUGUGUCCAAGGGAUCUCCCACUGCAUGUGAGAACAGGUUGGAGAGACUUUGACAGCUGAGGUCAGCACAACACCUGUAACUGCCAAUCACCUUUCCUAUAAUA
Molecule: small nucleolar RNA, 131 nt
Organism: Perognathus longimembris pacificus (Pacific pocket mouse)
Lineage: Eukaryota; Metazoa; Chordata; Mammalia; Rodentia; Heteromyidae
Product: small nucleolar RNA SNORA44
Exons: 1
Source: RefSeq, a predicted model, not a curated record